ACAGCACCUUCCAGUCCAGCCCCAUGAAAGUUAGCCAGCAGGGAAAACACUUCCAGGAAGCUCUCUGCCUCCUCUGCUUCUUUUAAUCUCUCAGCAAGUCACCAUUGCUGCCUCCUUUGCUGUUGCAGCUCCAGGUGAUGGAUACAGACGUGGGAAGAGUAUAAUCCCCUACACAAGUGUGAACUGGCUGAGUGUGUGCGUGGACAGAA
Long non-coding RNA from Mastomys coucha (southern multimammate mouse), 209 nucleotides. RefSeq lists it as uncharacterized. The record is from RefSeq and is a predicted model, not a curated record. The transcript is spliced from 3 exons. NCBI's taxonomy places the organism in Eukaryota, Metazoa, Chordata, Mammalia, Rodentia, Muridae.